This 375-nucleotide unclassified non-coding RNA is filed under the name fungal sp. RNAcentral describes it as "partial internal transcribed spacer region". The stretch from base 1 to 46 matches the Rfam family "Eukaryotic small subunit ribosomal RNA", at positions 1786 to 1831 of the family's 1831-position model. The record is from RNAcentral. Lineage: Eukaryota; Fungi.
AAGUCGUAACAAGGUUUCCGUAGGUGAACCUGCGGAAGGAUCAUUAACACGUAUCCAAACGUUAAACCCCCCUGUGAACCUUCACCUGUACUCGUACGUCCGUUAGAAAAAGCAGCAAUCCCUGGUAAAUCAUCGCCGAACAGUUUUCGAUUCAGGGAUGUCUGCAAGGAGCGUGCAUGUUGUGCGAGCAAGUGGCCUGGCAUCCCCAAGCAGUUAGUGUCUGAAAGUGUCAUUAACUGUGUAAGGAUGACGAUCGUUGGAGGCCCACACGGCCGACGACCGGGUCACUGGGCGCAAGCCCCCCUAUAACAAACGCUGCUAAUCGCGGCCGCGAUAAUACGCAGUCGACCAAAAACCGAACAACUGUUAACAAUG